Molecule: non-coding RNA, 48 nt
Organism: Schistosoma mansoni
Lineage: Eukaryota; Metazoa; Platyhelminthes; Trematoda; Strigeidida; Schistosomatidae
Source: Rfam
AUCCAGGUUACAAGUCCCAAAUAGGACGAAACGCGCGUCGAACUGGAU